This 71-nucleotide transfer RNA is filed under the name Coregonus autumnalis (Arctic cisco). Its description in RNAcentral is "tRNA-Arg". It matches the Rfam family "tRNA". From Rfam's summary of the family: Transfer RNA (tRNA) molecules are approximately 80 nucleotides in length. Their secondary structure includes four short double-helical elements and three loops (D, anti-codon, and T loops). Further hydrogen bonds mediate the characteristic L-shaped molecular structure. tRNAs have two regions of fundamental functional importance: the anti-codon, which is responsible for specific mRNA codon recognition, and the 3' end, to which the tRNAs corresponding amino acid is attached (by aminoacyl-tRNA synthetases). tRNAs cope with the degeneracy of the genetic code in two manners: having more than one tRNA (with a specific anti-codon) for a particular amino acid; and 'wobble' base-pairing, i.e. permitting non-standard base-pairing at the 3rd anti-codon position. The record is from RNAcentral. Lineage: Eukaryota; Metazoa; Chordata; Actinopteri; Salmoniformes; Salmonidae. RNAcentral also lists the same sequence under 11 other names.
AGGCAGUUAGUCCAAAAAUAAGACCCUUGAUUUCGGCUCAAAAGACCAUGGUUUAAGUCCAUGACCGCCUU